RNA transcript from Trifolium pratense (red clover), 1661 nucleotides. It is a transcript of the gene named mediator of RNA polymerase II transcription subunit 32, with no coding region annotated. The transcript has 6 exons. Lineage: Eukaryota; Viridiplantae; Streptophyta; Magnoliopsida; Fabales; Fabaceae. The record is from RefSeq and is a predicted model, not a curated record.
CGCUUACCGCUCCGGUGAUCGCAGACAUUCUAGUCGGUACAGCGAAAGAACCUUCUCUUCUCUGUUUCACUUCUCAUUCGCGCUUCAUUUUCGGAUCGGGUUUGGGUUUAACAAUAUAUGGCCACAUCUCCGUUCCGGAGAAACAAUGUGUCAAUGAUCCAUGAUCACAAGAGAGGGAGACGCCACAUCUCUACCCAAAAUCUUAAGGCAUUAGGUUCAUGGAUCACUUCUCAUAAAUCCAACAUUCUUCUCAUUCAUAAUUGAUGUGGGUUUGAAUUAGAUGUUAUUUAAAUAUUAGUAGGUGCUUUGAUUUUAAUCUUAAUUAUGUCUCUACUAUAAGAGAAAUUAUUAAGAAGAUUUUUAGGUUAAUGAGUUGGAUAGAAAUAUGGUAUAUGAUAGAACACUAUAUGAUGUCGUUUGAUCCAUGUAGCAGACCCCACUUAGUGGGAUAAGGCUUGGUUGUUGUAUGCGCCUACUUUUUUGUUUGGAAGUUCUUAGAUAAAUUACAUGACUUAUACUGGUUUAGUUGAUGUUGUGGUUUGAAUUUCAUAGUUUGUUGAUUGAAUAACUUGGCUUUUGUGGUACAUAUUGGGGGUAUACAUUACGGGUGGCUUGGUGGUUGGGGUGGAGGAGUUAAAGAGUGGAGUGAUAAGGAUGUCGAGGAUUCAAUCCCACCCCCAAUAUAAAAACUUACAAUACUAGCAUUUGCAUUUUCAAAGAAAAAAUAAUAAUCUAUGGUUGCUUCUUGAGGUUACUUACUUAGCAUGAAUGAUGAAUCCCAAGUUUGAGCACAUAUUGUGGAGCUAAGGUUCACGUAUCACAUCAUCUCAUAAUGUACACUGCUGAUUUUAGAUUGUCACCAUCUGAUUUUGCAGCUCAUAAUGUACACUGCAGCUGGUUUAUAGGUGGAACAUUGACACUCUUUAUCUCACUCUACAACUUGUUAAUGCAAAUUAUAACUGAGAUAAGGAUAAUAGUAGUAUAUAUCUCAUACUUACAAACUUAUCAUUUUUGUUAAAAUUGAAUAUUGAACUAGUGGUGAAGCUAAUGGAGUGAUUCAUAAAGUGAAAUAUUUCCCCUACUUUCAUGAAGAAUUAAUUGCCUAUUAUUAAUUUGACAAUGUUGAGAUGCUGCAGAUCAUCAUGGACCUCCAAGGGUGAACAUUUGGCAGGAUCCACUCUCCCCAUCUAAGUGGAAAUAAGAGCAUGAUAAAUUGCAAGCUGAAAAUACCAUCUUAACUCACUACUAUUUCUCACUCUGCAAGUUUGACAUCUUCCUCCAAGGCUAAUGAGAAGAUGAAGAAAAUGCAAUCUGAAAUCAAUUCGCUCAAGGACAACACUUCAUAAGUUGAUAUAUUGAAGGAGCAAGUUGCAUUUUUAUUGCAAAUGCAAAACUCUAGCGAAAAUCAGGUAUCUGCAUUAGAAGAGUCACUAAAUAGUAGGUGUUUUUAGUCAAGCAAGCACUGAGGAUCAUGAAGCAACAUCACUAGGAAAUAUUUAGAUAUUUUUGUGAACUUCUAAUUUUGAUGUAAUUGUUUUGUAUGUUUAGUCACUUUACUAAUGUAAUUUUGUAUUACUUUAAUUAUUGUUUUAGUUAAGUUUUGAUGUAUGGAUGUUACUAUUGAAUAAAUUAUAUGAAUGAGAAUAAGUCAUUUAUAUUUA